GAGGGAAGGCAGCUCCUGGCUGUGUCUGUCCCCGGCUUUUGGGCUCUGAAGGACUAACCACGUGCUUUCUCACUUGUCUCAGAUUGCCCAGCUGCCCUUGACCGGAAGCACGAGUAUCAUCUUCUUCCUGCCCCUGAAAGUGACCCAGAAUUUGACCUUGAUAGAGGAGAGCCUCACCUCUGAGUUCAUUCAUGACAUAGACCGAGAACUGAAGACCGUGCAGGCGGUCCUGACCGUCCCCAAGCUGAAGCUGAGUUACGAAGGCGAAGUCACCAAGUCCCUGCAGGAGAUGAAGCUGCAAUCCUUGUUUGAUUCACCAGACUUUAGCAAGAUCACAGGCAAACCCAUCAAGCUGACUCAGGUGGAACACCGGGCUGGCUUCGAGUGGAACGAGGAUGGGGCGGGAACCACCCCCAGCCCAGGGCUGCAGCCUGCCCACCUCACCUUCCCGCUGGACUAUCACCUUAACCAGCCUUUCAUCUUCGUACUGAGGGACACAGACACAGGGGCCCUUCUCUUCAUUGGCAAGAUUCUGGACCCCAGGGGCACCUAAUACCCCAGUUUAAUAUUCCAAUACCCUAGAAGAAAACCCGAGGGACAGCAGAUUCCACAGGACACGAAGGCUGCCCCUGUAAGGUUUCAAUGCAUAAAAUAAAAGAGCUUUAUCCCUAA
Molecule: small RNA, 672 nt
Filed under: Pan troglodytes (chimpanzee)
Lineage: Eukaryota; Metazoa; Chordata; Mammalia; Primates; Hominidae
Description: retained intron
Source: RNAcentral